GAUGAACGCUGGCGGCGUGCUUAACACAUGCAAGUCGAACGGAAAGGCACAAGCUUGCUUGGGUACUCGAGUGGCGAACGGGUGAGUAACACGUGGGUGAUCUGACCUGCACUUCGGGAUAAGCCUGGGAAACUGGGUCUAAUACCGGAUAGGACGCUGGUUUGGAUGCCAUUGUGGAGAGUUUUUUCGGUGUGGGAUGUGCUCGCGGCCGAUCAGCUUGUUGGUGGGGUAAUGGCCUACCAAGUCGUCGACGGGUAGCCGGCCUGAGAGGGUGUACGGCCAGAUUAGGACCGAGAUACGGCCCAGACUCGUACGGGAGGCAGAAGGGGGGAAUAUUGCACAAUGGGCGCAAGCCUGAUGCAGCGACGCCGCGUGGGUGAUGACGGCCUUCGUGUUGUAAGCUCCGUUCGCUAGGGACGAAGCGUUUUUGUGACGGUACCUGGAGAAGAAGCACCGGCUAACUACGUG
RNAcentral lists this ribosomal RNA (468 nucleotides) under uncultured bacterium. RNAcentral describes it as "partial 16S ribosomal RNA". It matches the Rfam family "Bacterial small subunit ribosomal RNA", at positions 28 to 507 of the family's 1533-position model. The record is from RNAcentral.